RNAcentral lists this ribosomal RNA (513 nucleotides) under uncultured bacterium. Its description in RNAcentral is "partial 16S ribosomal RNA". It matches the Rfam family "Bacterial small subunit ribosomal RNA", at positions 28 to 523 of the family's 1533-position model. The record is from RNAcentral.
GACGAACGCUGGCGGCGUGCCAAUACAUGCAAGUCGAGCGGACCGAAGGGAGCUUGCUCCUUUAGGUUAGCGGCGGACGGGUGAGUAACACGUGGGCAACCUGCCCUGCAGACUGGGAUAACUUCGGGAAACCGGAGCUAAUACCGGAUAACACCGAAAACCGCAUGGUUUUCGGUUGAAAGGCGGCUUUUAGCUGUCACUGCAGGAUGGGCCCGCGGCGCAUUAGCUAGUUGGUGAGGUAACGGCUCACCAAGGCGACGAUGCGUAGCCGACCGGGGAGGGUGGCCGGCCACACUGGGAGUGAGGCACGGCCGAGACUCCUACGGGAGGCAGGAGUAGGGAAUCUUCCGCAAUGGACGAAGGUCUGACGGAGCAACGCCGCGUGAGCGAAGAAGGUCUUCGGAUCGUAAAGCUCUGUUGUCAGGGAAGAACAAGUACCGUUCGAAUAGGGCGGUACCUUGACGGUACCUGACGAGGAAGCCACGGCUAACUACGUGCCAGCCGCCGCGGUAA